AGGAGCUGUCACGAAGGUGCAUUGUAGUCGCAUUGUCUGUCCAAAAAUUGCAUGCGGCAAUACAACUGCAGUGCAAGCUCCGUGCAGUUCAC
RNAcentral lists this microRNA precursor (92 nucleotides) under Drosophila grimshawi. RNAcentral describes it as "microRNA dgr-mir-33 precursor". Its record names the gene dgr-mir-33. The stretch from base 12 to 82 matches the Rfam family "mir-33 microRNA precursor family". The record is from miRBase by way of RNAcentral. Lineage: Eukaryota; Metazoa; Arthropoda; Insecta; Diptera; Drosophilidae.